RNAcentral lists this ribosomal RNA (497 nucleotides) under uncultured bacterium. RNAcentral describes it as "partial 16S ribosomal RNA". It matches the Rfam family "Bacterial small subunit ribosomal RNA", at positions 28 to 507 of the family's 1533-position model. The record is from RNAcentral.
GAUGAACGCUGGCGGCGUGCCUAAUACAUGCAAGUCGAGCGAACAGACGAGGAGCUUGCUCCUCUGACGUUAGCGGCGGACGGGUGAGUAACACGUGGAUAACCUACCUAUAAGACUGGGAUAACUUCGGGAAACCGGAGCUAAUACCGGAUAAUAUAUUGAACCGCAUGGUUCAAUAGUGAAAGACGGUUUUGCUGUCACUUAUAGAUGGAUCCGCGCCGCAUUAGCUAGUUGGUAAGGUAACGGCUUACCAAGGCAACGAUGCGUAGCCGACCUGAGAGGGUGAUCGGCCACCCUGGAACUGAGACUCGGUCCAGACUCCUACGGUGGGCAGCAGUAGGGAAUCUUCCGCGAUGGGCGAAAGCCUGACGGAGCACCGCCGCGUGAGUGAUGAAGGUCUUCGGCUCGUAAAACUAUGUUAUUAGGGAAGAACAAAUGUGUAAGUAACUAUGAACGUCUUGACGGUACCUAAUCAGAAAGCCACGGCUAACUACGUG